UCAAAAUCAUCUCCCUUUUUAUUUUGUUAUUAUGAAAAUAAUUUGAUUUAAUAUUGGUUUAAGGUUUGCAAAGAAAUGACGAUUGUCUAACUGACCGAGUAAGAAAACUCGUAUUCGAACAAUCGAGGAGAGGAGUUAAAGGCUUAAAACCAUCCCCCUUUUCAUUUAGUUUAUUAUAAGAAUGAUUUGAUUUAAUUAUGCCUAAGCGGAU
This 211-nucleotide long non-coding RNA is filed under the name Lathyrus oleraceus (garden pea). Its description in RNAcentral is "Pisum sativum (pea) long non-coding RNA (PSAT_LNC011671)". The record is from RNAcentral. Lineage: Eukaryota; Viridiplantae; Streptophyta; Magnoliopsida; Fabales; Fabaceae.